This 327-nucleotide ribosomal RNA is filed under the name Salmonella enterica. RNAcentral's name for it is "partial 23S ribosomal RNA". It matches the Rfam family "Bacterial large subunit ribosomal RNA", at positions 1 to 355 of the family's 2925-position model. RNAcentral also lists the same sequence under 1 other name. The record is from RNAcentral. Lineage: Bacteria; Pseudomonadati; Pseudomonadota; Gammaproteobacteria; Enterobacterales; Enterobacteriaceae.
GGGUUGUGAGGUUAAGCGACUAAGCGUACACGGUGGAUGCCCUGGCAGUCAGAGGCGAUGAAGGGCGUGCUAAUCUGCGAUAAGCGCCGGUAAGGUGAUAUGAACCGUUAUAACCGGCGAUACCCGAAUGGGGAAACCCAGUGUGACUCGUCACACUAUCAUUAACUGAAUCCAUAGGUUAAUGAGGCGAACCGGGGGAACUGAAACAUCUAAGUACCCCGAGGAAAAGAAAUCAACCGAGAUUCCCCCAGUAGCGGCGAGCGAACGGGGAGGAGCCCAGAGCCUGAAUCAGCAUGUGUGUUAGUGGAAGCGUCUGGAAAGGCGCGC